This 253-nucleotide ribosomal RNA is filed under the name uncultured bacterium. Its description in RNAcentral is "partial 16S ribosomal RNA". It matches the Rfam family "Bacterial small subunit ribosomal RNA", at positions 524 to 776 of the family's 1533-position model. The record is from RNAcentral.
UACGUAGGGGGCAAGCGUUGUCCGGAUUUACUGGGCGUAAAGAGCGUGUAGGCGGCCACGCAGGUCCGUUGUGAAAACUGGAGGCUCAACCUCCAGCUGUCGACGGAAACCGUGUGGCUAGAGUCCGGAAGAGGAGAGUGGAAUUCCUGGUGUAGCGGUGAAAUGCGCAGAUAUGACCCGGAACACCGAUUGCGAAGGCAGCCCACUAAGCAAUGAUUGACGCUGAGGCACGAAAGCGUGGGGAUCAAACAGG